AAAUAGUAACCCGUCGACUUCUUGGAACUCUUUUAUAUUACGAGUUUCAUGUCUGCGCCCGUUGGGAAUUCUUUACUCAAGGGAUGGAAGGAGAAUGGAGAUUUGGGGUUGAGUUUAGCCAGCUGUUACUCAGUGACAGCCUAGGAAUCGUCGAAUAAAUCCACCUCCACACAACCGUGUUAGAAUGGUGUGCAGAGUAUAUCUCUCUCUGGGUGGAAAGAGAUUGAUAGCGAAAUCAACCCAUGAUCUCAGUGGAGAAGACGGCGGACAAUUUAGGGUUUUACAGAAGGCGAAAGUGGCAGCGCCGUAAAGUACCAGGGCAGUAGAAGAUGACAUUGUCCAGGGCAACCAGACUAGACGAAGUAGCAGGAAAUGAGGCAUUGAAUCUGCAGAAUCAUCUGAAUCGUCUUCCGACUAGUCAAGGAAUUCAAUUGUUUUUUAUUAAAAUAAAUAGGGAAGCAUCCCAACCCUUUAAAGGUAAAAAAAAACCAUGUAAACAAUGUGCGCCCAACAAGACAAACUGAGUUUUUUUGUUUGCCCCGAGGGAUUAAGGGAAUUCAAUUGUUGAGAACAAUACAGUCCGUCUUUUGUAUUUAUGCUGACCACUCAGUUUUGGGGAGUGAUUUUUUAAUUGAUGAUAAUUUAAUAGAGCUCUGUGUUUUUGCUGUUCAGUAUAGUG
This is a long non-coding RNA of Cryptomeria japonica (Japanese cedar), 679 nucleotides long. RefSeq lists it as uncharacterized. The record is from RefSeq and is a predicted model, not a curated record. The transcript is spliced from 3 exons. Lineage: Eukaryota; Viridiplantae; Streptophyta; Pinopsida; Cupressales; Cupressaceae.